UGGGGAAUAUUGGACAAUGGGCGCAAGCCUGAUCCAGCCAUGCCGCGUGAGUGAUGAAGGCCUUAGGGUUGUAAAGCUCUUUUAGCGGGGAAGAUAAUGACGGUACCCGCAGAAAAAGCCCCGGCUAACUUCGUGCCAGCAGCCGCGGUAAUACGAAGGGGGCUAGCGUUGCUCGGAAUUACUGGGCGUAAAGCGCACGUAGGCGGACUCUUAAGUCGGUGGUGAAAUCCUGGAGCUCAACUCCAGAACUGCCUUCGAUACUGGGAGUCUUGAGUUCGGGAGAGGUGAGUGGAACUGCGAGUGUAGAGGUGAAAUUCGUAGAUAUUCGCAAGAACACCAGUGGCGAAGGCGGCUCACUGGCCCGAUACUGACGCUGAGGUGCGAAAGCGUGGGGAGCAGACA
This 402-nucleotide ribosomal RNA is filed under the name uncultured bacterium. RNAcentral's name for it is "bacterial SSU rRNA". It matches the Rfam family "Bacterial small subunit ribosomal RNA", at positions 355 to 774 of the family's 1533-position model. The record is from RNAcentral.